ACCUUCGUAGCUUAACGGAAAAGCACCGCUAGCGGGAGAUAGAGGUUCAAUUCCUCUCGAAGACA
Molecule: transfer RNA, 65 nt
Organism: Phytophthora megakarya
Lineage: Eukaryota; Oomycota; Peronosporomycetes; Peronosporales; Peronosporaceae
Rfam family: tRNA
About the family: Transfer RNA (tRNA) molecules are approximately 80 nucleotides in length. Their secondary structure includes four short double-helical elements and three loops (D, anti-codon, and T loops). Further hydrogen bonds mediate the characteristic L-shaped molecular structure. tRNAs have two regions of fundamental functional importance: the anti-codon, which is responsible for specific mRNA codon recognition, and the 3' end, to which the tRNAs corresponding amino acid is attached (by aminoacyl-tRNA synthetases). tRNAs cope with the degeneracy of the genetic code in two manners: having more than one tRNA (with a specific anti-codon) for a particular amino acid; and 'wobble' base-pairing, i.e. permitting non-standard base-pairing at the 3rd anti-codon position.
Source: Rfam